This 665-nucleotide ribosomal RNA is filed under the name Amanita fuliginea. RNAcentral describes it as "eukaryotic LSU rRNA". The stretch from base 251 to 404 matches the Rfam family "5.8S ribosomal RNA". Lineage: Eukaryota; Fungi; Basidiomycota; Agaricomycetes; Agaricales; Amanitaceae. The record is from RNAcentral.
GAUCAUUAAAGAAAUGAACCUUGAGACUGUCGCUGGCCCCUCCUGCAGAUGGAGUUGGCAUGUGCACGUCUCUGGUCAUUACCAAUUCCACCUGUGCACACUUGUAGACACUUGGGAAUGAGAGACAUAGGCUGCUUGGCUGGUCUCUUGAGAGAGAGAAAUGGAAAAAAUCUGGGUGUCUAUGCCAUUUUUAUUAAACACUAGUUGCAUGUUUAUAGAAUGAAUGAUGAUUUGAUUGAAUAUGAAAUACAACUUUCAACAACGGAUCUCUUGGCUCUCGCAUCGAUGAAGAACGCAGCGAAAUGCGAUAAGUAAUGUGAAUUGCAGAAUUCAGUGAAUCAUCGAAUCUUUGAACGCACCUUGCGCUCCUUGGCAUUCUGAGGAGCAUGCCUGUUUGAGUGUCAUUAACAUCUCAAUACCUGUCUGCUUUUGAUGGGUAUUGGAAAUUGGGGGUUGCAGGGCUUGUAUAGCUUUGCUCUCCUUGAAUGUAUUAGUGGAGAAAAAGAAAGCUCAUUGAACUCCAUUGGUGUGAUAAAAUCUAUCAAUGCCAGGAACAAUGUCCAAGUUUCUCUGCUGUCUAAUCCAUGUCCAGUUUGGACCUCAUUUGACCAACUUGACCUCAAAUCAGGUAGGACUACCCGCUGAACUUAAGCAUAUCAAAGGCC